GGACGGACAGACCGACCGACGCGGGCCACCGGGCUCUCCUCGCCGCCGGUGCGGCGGGCGCGGGGCCGCGCGGGGACGCCUGAUAUCUGCAGCGCGGGCGGGCCGCCGCGGAGCGGAACCAGACAAAGGCGCCGGGACGCCUGCAGGACAGGCCUGCCUUAAAGCAGACGGAAUGAAAGGCAGAAGCUUGUAAGCCUACGCAUGACGCCAGAGCACGUCGGCAGAGGGCUCUGUCUCACCCGGACCAGUGAGAGUGAUUUCCCAGCGAUUGCUUCGGCCGGUACAACCAGAGAACAGGAUUCUUUUCUUUUUGGCCGCUAAAUGCCUCUGUACCCCACACUUUCCAGUGAGUGGAGAAGGCUGGAGCUUCUUGGAUGAUGAUGGAUGUUCCGCUGGGCAGGAUGAGGGCAGAGUGUGUGACAUCAACACCACAAGGGUAAGAGCUGCCUGUCUGGUGUUUUCUCUGAUGCCAGCAUUUACCAAAGGAAGGGGAGAAAAACCUAG
This 504-nucleotide long non-coding RNA is filed under the name Capra hircus (goat). RNAcentral's name for it is "lncRNA (ENSCHIG00000004799.1)". Lineage: Eukaryota; Metazoa; Chordata; Mammalia; Artiodactyla; Bovidae. The record is from RNAcentral.